RNAcentral lists this ribosomal RNA (900 nucleotides) under Pseudomonas migulae. Its description in RNAcentral is "bacterial SSU rRNA". It matches the Rfam family "Bacterial small subunit ribosomal RNA", at positions 1 to 886 of the family's 1533-position model. Lineage: Bacteria; Pseudomonadati; Pseudomonadota; Gammaproteobacteria; Pseudomonadales; Pseudomonadaceae. The record is from RNAcentral.
AUCCGGAAAUUUUUUAGCACAGAGUUUGAUCCUGGCUCAGAUUGAACGCUGGCGGCAGGCCCUACACAUGCAAGUCGAGCGGUAGAGAGAAGCUUGCUUCUCUUGAGAGCGGCGGACGGGUGAGUAAUGCCUAGGAAUCUGCCUGGUAGUGGGGGAUAACGCUCGGAAACGGACGCUAAUACCGCAUACGUCCUACGGGAGAAAGCAGGGGACCUUCGGGCCUUGCGCUAUCAGAUGAGCCUAGGUCGGAUUAGCUAGUUGGUGGGGUAAUGGCUCACCAAGGCGACGAUCCGUAACUGGUCUGAGAGGAUGAUCAGUCACACUGGAACUGAGACACGGUCCAGACUCCUACGGGAGGCAGCAGUGGGGAAUAUUGGACAAUGGGCGAAAGCCUGAUCCAGCCAUGCCGCGUGUGUGAAGAAGGUCUUCGGAUUGUAAAGCACUUUAAGUUGGGAGGAAGGGCAGUAACCUAAUACGUUGCUGUCUUGACGUUACCGACAGAAUAAGCACCGGCUAACUCUGUGCCAGCAGCCGCGGUAAUACAGAGGGUGCAAGCGUUAAUCGGAAUUACUGGGCGUAAAGCGCGCGUAGGUGGUUUGUUAAGUUGGAUGUGAAAUCCCCGGGCUCAACCUGGGAACUGCAUUCAAAACUGACAAGCUAGAGUAUGGUAGAGGGUGGUGGAAUUUCCUGUGUAGCGGUGAAAUGCGUAGAUAUAGGAAGGAACACCAGUGGCGAAGGCGACCACCUGGACUGAUACUGACACUGAGGUGCGAAAGCGUGGGGAGCAAACAGGAUUAGAUACCCUGGUAGUCCACGCCGUAAACGAUGUCAGCUAGCCGUUGGGAGCCUUGAGCUCUUAGUGGCGCAGCUAACGCAUUAAGUGACCGCUUGGGGACCGGC